This 354-nucleotide small RNA is filed under the name Actinomycetota bacterium. Its description in RNAcentral is "transfer-messenger RNA". It matches the Rfam family "transfer-messenger RNA". Rfam says of the family: Bacterial tmRNA, also known as 10Sa RNA or SsrA, is named for its dual tRNA and mRNA-like properties. Its role is to liberate the mRNA from a stalled ribosome. The record is from RNAcentral. Lineage: Bacteria; Bacillati; Actinomycetota.
GGGGGCGUACCGGCUUCGACGUGAGCGGUCAGCGUCUCGUGAGACGAGCCGAGUUUGCUGGAGACUCGUUAAACGCCGGCAACCAACAAUACACGCCGACGAUAAUCUCGCGGUAGCCGCUUAAAGAAAAGCGGCUCAUCGGUCCGGGUAGCCCACGACCCGGGUACCGGUGUCAUUGAGUGGGCUUACCCUCCGGGUCCUGGCCCGGGGCUCUGGAGGGAACACUUAACGGGCUAGCCUCUCAGCGGCGCCCCGGUCCGCUGAGGUAGGCGAAACUAAACCGGAAGCUACGCUCGUAGAAUCUCACGGACGGCGCGCUCGCGGACGCGGGUUCGAAUCCCGCCGCCUCCACUG